Molecule: small nucleolar RNA, 213 nt
Organism: Anoplophora glabripennis (Asian longhorned beetle)
Lineage: Eukaryota; Metazoa; Arthropoda; Insecta; Coleoptera; Cerambycidae
Product: small nucleolar RNA U3
Exons: 1
Source: RefSeq, a predicted model, not a curated record
AAGAUCAUACUUCACAGGAUCAUUUCUGUAGUAGGUCUUCCCAUACUCUCUACUCGAACGUAGAGUUGUCGCAACCAUGAUGACGAGACAAGAGUCUCGUAUCCUGAGCGUGAGGCAGAUUUCUGGUGGUAGUUUUACAUUGCCGCAGAAGUCAUCGAUGAUCGUUCACCUGCAAUUUUUUUGUGGGCACGGGUACGAGGCAGUCCGAGUGGU